GAUGAACGCUGGCGGCGUGCCUAAUACAUGCAAGUCGAGCGAACAGAUGAGGAGCUUGCUCCUCUGACGUUAGCGGCGGACGGGUGAGUAACACGUGGAUAACCUACCUAUAAGACUGGGAUAACUUCGGGAAACCGGAGCUAAUACCGGAUAAUAUAUUGAACCGCAUGGUUCAAUAGUGAAAGACGGUUUUGCUGUCACUUAUAGAUGGAUCCGCGCCGCAUUAGCUAGUUGGUAAGGUAACGGCUUACCAAGGCAACGAUGCGUAGCCGACCUUAGAGGGUGAUCGGCCACACUGGAACUGAGACACGGUCCAGACUCCUACGGGAGGCAGCAGUAGGGAAUCUUCCGCAAUGGGCGAAAGCCUGACGGAGCAACGCCGCGUGAGUGAUGAAGGUCUUCGGAUCGUAAAACUCUGUUAUUAGGGAAGAACAAAUGUGUAAGUAACUAUGCACGUCUUGACGGUACCUAAUCAGAAAGCCGCGGCUAACUACGUG
RNAcentral lists this ribosomal RNA (497 nucleotides) under uncultured bacterium. RNAcentral describes it as "partial 16S ribosomal RNA". It matches the Rfam family "Bacterial small subunit ribosomal RNA", at positions 28 to 507 of the family's 1533-position model. The record is from RNAcentral.